UUCUCCUCAAGAAGAAGAGUGAGAUCCAGACCCUGAAGGAGGAGAUUGAACAGAGCCUGACCAAGAGGGAUGAGUUCGAGUUUCUGGAGAAAGCAUCAAAACUGCGAGGAAUCUCAACAAAGCCAGUCUACAUCCCUGAGGUGGAACUGAACCACAAGCUGAUAAAAGGCAUCGGCCAGAGCACCAUAGACCUCAAAAACGAGCUGAAGCAGUGCAUCGGGCGGCUCCAGGAGCCCACCCCCAGUUCAGGUGACCCUGGAGAGCAUGACCCAGCGUCCACACACAAAUCCACACGCCCUGUGAAGAAGGUCUCCAAAGAGGAAAAGAAAUCCAAGAAACCUUGUAAGUUAUGCAUUUCUGCAACUGUUCGUUUCUUGAGACUGCCCGAGCACAGAACUAAAUACUGGUAGUGAGAGUUGACCUCUCUCAUCAGGGUUCUGUGAUGGGUUCUAUAUGAUUCCAUUCUGUAAUAGCAGCAGGCCUGAGGCUGGAGGGGAG
RNAcentral lists this small RNA (498 nucleotides) under Pan troglodytes (chimpanzee). RNAcentral's name for it is "retained intron". The record is from RNAcentral. Lineage: Eukaryota; Metazoa; Chordata; Mammalia; Primates; Hominidae.